CACACGCCCCCACCACCCCCAUCUUAGCGCCCCCCACCCUCUAUGGAGACAUUUCAACCAGGGAGAAGGGAAGUCCUGCCCUUGCCCCUCGCCCCCGCCCUGCUCCUCCAACAGGGGAGACUUCUGUCCAAACCUUGGAAAGAAACGAGAUGCCAGGCCUAGCGCCUUCGGGGAUCCUCUCUGGACAAGGCCACAGGGUGAAAACACCAGCACAGUCUGGACCUGGGCGGACUUUUUGGAAAAGCUUCUGGAUGCCACGGACUCCACGACCAACCAACUAGGUUGCUGCUGCUUGCAAACAUCGCCUCCAUUGAAGGAUUCCUGCAGCCACCAGCUCUGGAACUUUCUGGAACCAAACAUUUCCCCAGACUGCCUACAAGGACCAAUUGGCCUCUGGAUGUAGG
This 404-nucleotide long non-coding RNA is filed under the name Homo sapiens (human). RNAcentral describes it as "non-protein coding lnc-NPAS4-1:4". Lineage: Eukaryota; Metazoa; Chordata; Mammalia; Primates; Hominidae. The record is from RNAcentral.